RNAcentral lists this ribosomal RNA (464 nucleotides) under Vreelandella stevensii. RNAcentral describes it as "partial 16S ribosomal RNA". It matches the Rfam family "Bacterial small subunit ribosomal RNA", at positions 338 to 795 of the family's 1533-position model. Lineage: Bacteria; Pseudomonadati; Pseudomonadota; Gammaproteobacteria; Oceanospirillales; Halomonadaceae. The record is from RNAcentral.
CCUACGGGGAGCAGCAGUGGGGAAUAUUGGACAAUGGGCGAAAGCCUGAUCCAGCCAUGCCGCGUGUGUGAAGAAGGCCUUCGGGUUGUAAAGCACUUUCAGUGGGGAAGAAAGCCUUGGGGCUAAUACCCUCGAGGAAGGACAUCACCCACAGAAGAAGCACCGGCUAACUCCGUGCCAGCAGCCGCGGUAAUACGGAGGGUGCGAGCGUUAAUCGGAAUUACUGGGCGUAAAGCGCGCGUAGGCGGUCUGAUAAGCCGGUUGUGAAAGCCCCGGGCUCAACCUGGGAACGGCAUCCGGAACUGUCAGGCUAGAGUGCAGGAGAGGAAGGUGGAAUUCCCGGUGUAGCGGUGAAAUGCGUAGAGAUCGGGAGGAAUACCAGUGGCGAAGGCGGCCUUCUGGACUGACACUGACGCUGAGGUGCGAAAGCGUGGGUAGCAAACAGGAUUAGAUACCCCAGAGUC